RNAcentral lists this ribosomal RNA (72 nucleotides) under Sematophyllum demissum. RNAcentral describes it as "partial 26S ribosomal RNA". The record is from RNAcentral. Lineage: Eukaryota; Viridiplantae; Streptophyta; Bryopsida; Hypnales; Sematophyllaceae.
GACCUCUAAUCGGAAAAGACUACCCGCUGAGUUUAAGCAUAUCACUAAGCGGAGGAGAAGAAACGAACCAUG